GACGUAGGACGCGAGCGUUAUCCGGAUUUACUGGGCGUAAAGCGUCUGUAGGCGGGACAGUAAGUUGGGCGUGAAAGCUUCGGGCUUAACCCGGAGAGGACGUACAAGACUGCUGAACUAGAGGCCACCAGAGGGGCGUGGAAUUUCCGGUGUAGCGGUAAAAUGCGCAGAUAUCGGAAGGAACACCAGUGGCGAAGGCGGCGCCCUGGGGUGGGCCUGACGCUAAGAGACGAAAGCUAGGGGAGCGAACAGG
This 253-nucleotide ribosomal RNA is filed under the name uncultured prokaryote. RNAcentral's name for it is "partial 16S ribosomal RNA". It matches the Rfam family "Bacterial small subunit ribosomal RNA", at positions 524 to 776 of the family's 1533-position model. The record is from RNAcentral.